AAUAUAAAGCCUUUUUGUAAUGAAGUCUCAGAAAUCAGCUGCUAAUCUCAGUAGGUAUUAUGCGACAACCACGUAGAAUGUUAAUUCAUGUAUAACAGAUGCAUAGGUAGCAGAAAAUACAUCAGGAUUUAAUGUGUGCUAGUUGAAAAUAGAUAACUUUCUUAAGAAAUACCUCACUUGGGCGUCUGUUGCCAAAGAUAAACUAUAGGCAGUCUCCAGAUGCAAGCAGGUGCUAUCAAAUUUGCAAGAAAAUGCAAAACAAUGAUUGGUUUGUCAGUGCAUGGUUUUAUCACAAGUACAAAGCUUCUAACUCACAAUUACAAACAUCACUUCCCAUUCUUCGUUUCUUUGUCAUAAACACAAAAAUGGCCUUUCCCUAGCCCGUCUACUUGUAAUUUUUCCCACGUCACCAUUAGCUAAUACUUAUGCUUCUCUGCCCGAUUAGUGGAGGUUAACAUGAUGUGAUAAAUUGAGCCAAAAUCUCUAAUAUCUCUCCAUCCACAUUUUCCUUCCAUCGUAAUUCUAAACAGCUUGCUAGUAUUUGGUAAACCCGCGAGGAUUGCAACUCAACUCCCAGAAGUAGUUCUUCGUUUCACCACCAAAUCAUCAGCGGAAUAAUAAUCAGCAAUGAGUCGAUACAUGUAUGAAGGAUUAUGCCCUCCGGUGUCAGUGAUGAACAGACUAACAAGCUUCGGUGGUACAUAGUCAAAUGUUGGAUUUACAACAUGCAGAAGAGGAGAGCCAGUGACACUCCUAAAAUCCAAGCAAUCAGAGAAUUCUCCAAAAUCCAGCAGCUCAGAAGGGGAUCUCAAUUCAUUUAGUAAGACCUCAGGAUUGUGUGGAUAUAAGGGGCACAGCUUGUGACUACCAGCAAGCACAACAAAUGGAACAGCAUGUUUUUGAGCUGCAAGUGCAACCAUAUUCAACCCAACAGGUGCUAUAACGCCACCAUUAGCCAUGACAGCAUGAGCUCCCACUAUAACCAUGUUCACUCGAGAAAUCAUGGCAAAAACUGCAGAAUCAGUAAUCAAAGUGGUCUGUAAACCUCUUGCAACCAAUUCUUUGGCAAGAAGAUGCCCUUGAUACCUUGGAGCACCCUCAGCAACAAAUACUCUGAAUGAUCUUUUCUUCUCCUUAGCAGCACAAAGAAAUUCCAAUACUGUUCUUGAACUGCCUAAAGUUAAUAUUACCUCAUUUUGAUGAAUAUGUUCCACUGCUUGCUCAGCAAUCUGUUCAUGACAAGUAGUAAUAUCUUGUAUAAGCUCAUUAACUGCUUCAAUGACAUCAUGUUUCAACUUCCGACUUCUUGAACUUUUAUCAGCAGAUUUGCUCUUUCCUUCAGAAUCACCCCCUGAUGAAGAAGUAUGAGGAAUAGCUGCUGAGUCAGGCAUGUCCUCCAGGAGAGUCUGCAAGGAAGGUGGACGCAAAGUACUUCUUGCAGCAGCAGCAACGACAGCAGCUGACAAAACUGGGAGAUCAUCUCGUUCCUCAUCAUCCUCAUCAUCACUUACAGCUGAUAAGUUCAAUCCCGCCAUAGCAGCUGUGGUCAGAGAAAGAUCCUCCUCCCUAAUAAUGUGUAAAACACGCCUCACUAUAUUACCCACAGCCAGCUCAACAGGAUUUGCAGCAAUUAGCUGCUCUCCAACAGCCUUCACGGCAUCAAUCAAAGCUCCAGCCUGGUUGUUAUAAGGUACUCGCUGCUGUGAAAUUACCGACCGUAGCAACUCCGCCGUCUGCCUUGAGGUGGCCUGAGAGCCCUCGAUCUUCCGCUUCUUAAGCUUGUUGAGAAAAUCAUUGACGAGAGCUUGCACGUCAGGCAUGGUUACCCCAACGUUUCCCCCAAGAUGCUAAAGGAGAGAUCUAAUAAACAUAUGAAAGAAAGAUGAGAGCUCUUCCCGAGGCUUAUAGUUAAACUCGCAGUGACGAAGAGCUUCCCGGCGAAGCCUUGUGGUUUUAGGUAUGGGCUUUUAU
This 1971-nucleotide unclassified non-coding RNA is filed under the name Hevea brasiliensis (rubber tree). Lineage: Eukaryota; Viridiplantae; Streptophyta; Magnoliopsida; Malpighiales; Euphorbiaceae. The record is from RNAcentral.